CCCUUAGAUGUUCUGGGCCGCACGCGCGCUACACUGAUGCAUUCAACAAGCCUAGCCUUGACCGAGAGGUCCGGGUAAUCUUUGAAACUGCAUCGUGAUGGGGCUAGAUUAUUGCAAUUAUUAAUCUUCAACGAGGAAUGCCUAGUAAGCGUGAUUCAUCAAAUCGCGUUGAUUACGUCCCUGCCCUUUGUACACACCGCCCGUCGCACCUACUGAUUGAAUGACUCGGUGAAAAAUCGGGACUGCGAGAACAAUCGAUUAAUUUCGAAUGUACUUGAGGGAACUUUUUUUAACCUCGCCAUUUAGAAGAAGGUGAAGUCGUAACA
Molecule: ribosomal RNA, 326 nt
Filed under: uncultured eukaryote
Lineage: Eukaryota
Description: partial 18S ribosomal RNA
Rfam family: Eukaryotic small subunit ribosomal RNA
Source: RNAcentral